RNAcentral lists this ribosomal RNA (497 nucleotides) under uncultured bacterium. RNAcentral describes it as "partial 16S ribosomal RNA". It matches the Rfam family "Bacterial small subunit ribosomal RNA", at positions 28 to 507 of the family's 1533-position model. The record is from RNAcentral.
GAUGAACGCUGGCGGCGUGCCUAAUACAUGCCAGUCGAGCGAACGGACGAGAAGCUUGCUUCUCUGAUGUUAGCGGCGGACGGGUGAGUAACACGUGGAUAACCUACCUAUAAGACUGGGAUAACUUCGGGAAACCGUAGCUAAUACCGGAUAAUAUUUUGAACCGCAUGGUUCAAAAGUGAAAGACGGUCUUGCUGUCACUUAUAGAUGGAUCCGCGCUGCAUUAGCUAGUUGGUAAGGUAACGGCUUACCAAGGCAACGAUGCAUAGCCGACCUGGGAGGGUGAUCGGCCACACUGGAACUGAGACACGGUCCAGACUCCUACGGGAGGCAGCAGUAGGGAAUCUUCCGCAAUGGGCGAAAGCCUGACGGAGCAACGCCGCGUGAGUGAUGAAGGUCUUCGGAUCGUAAAACUCUGUUAUUAGGGAAGAACAUAUGUGUAAGUAACUGUGCACAUCUUGACGGUACCUAAUCAGAAAGCCACGGCUAACUACGUG